GCUCGGGUGGUGAAACCGGUAGACACAAGGGACUUAAAAUCCCUCGGGGGCAACCCCAUCCGGGUUCGAGUCCCGGCCCGAGCA
This 84-nucleotide transfer RNA is filed under the name Gemmatimonadota bacterium. RNAcentral describes it as "Gemmatimonadetes bacterium (freshwater metagenome) tRNA-Leu". It matches the Rfam family "tRNA". From Rfam's summary of the family: Transfer RNA (tRNA) molecules are approximately 80 nucleotides in length. Their secondary structure includes four short double-helical elements and three loops (D, anti-codon, and T loops). The record is from RNAcentral. Lineage: Bacteria; Pseudomonadati; Gemmatimonadota.